RNA transcript from Lemur catta (Ring-tailed lemur), 1752 nucleotides. RefSeq lists it as uncharacterized. NCBI's taxonomy places the organism in Eukaryota, Metazoa, Chordata, Mammalia, Primates, Lemuridae. The transcript has a single exon. The record is from RefSeq and is a predicted model, not a curated record.
AUGGGGCAAGGGACCUCAGGCUGCCCCUCUCUCCUCCGUGCUGCCUCCCCAAGCUCCCAGCCUGAAUUCUGUCUGUCUGUCAUCUGAGUGUCCACCUACAUUCUGCUGCCACCAGUCACCAAAGCCCCCUCCCAGUGAGGGGUGGAAGGGAUCCCUGGGGUCUGGAAUUUGGACCCAAACCAGAGAAUGUACCUUAAGGGGGAGGGCUAGUGGGAGGGCUUCCCCAGCCUUAAGAGACCCUCUCAGCCCAGUGACUGUCCCCAAACUGAAGUUGCCAGGCAGGAAUAGAACCCUAGUCCCACUCCCUUCCACCAUGUGGAAUCUCUAGGGGGUGGGAGUGGGGGAUCCACUGAAGAAGUAGAGACGGGGACAAGAAGUGGCCCUGGUGCUGUAGGUCAUGUCUUGAUAUCACAAGUUCACCCCCAACCCAAAGCUGCUGGAGAGAAAUCCCAAGAGGCAGCCCUCCUCUACCAUCCCAUAAAAGACCUGGCUGGUUAGCUUCCAGUUCAGGGAGAGGGGCACUGGUGCCUGACCUCACUGGUCUCUCUCCCAGAGGCCCUUGCAGAGGCCACAUCCAUAAAUUUUCUUAUGGAACUCUCCCAAGUCCUCUUCCCCAACUUCAUUUGCUUCUCUCAACAACCUCAUCUGCAUUUUCUAUUUCUAUAUGAUACAGACUCUAUAUUGCUAUAUCUCUGUAUAUACUUUACCCUAACCCUGUCUGUCUCUACCCCAUCCCCUCUUGUCUCUGAGAACCAUCCUCCCACCCUAAGUUUCCCCUUCUAUGUUUCUGCCCCCUCCCUGGUCUCUGAAUGCCUUCGCCUGUAUAAAGAGUUGGACUCUCUCCCCUGGUGUCUGUACUGUGUACACACAUCCCUCUGAGAAGCACAAGGAGACGACACGCGCAUUGUAACCUUCGCACUGUCUCGGUGGCGACAAAGGAAGCUGUGAAUCACAAGCUCUGCCUCUUUCUGGCCUCAUCCUCUCCCCACAACCCACCCGGGCACCCUCUUUGCUCCCUGCAGCCUUAACAUUCCCUUCCCCUGCUCCACCCAUCCCAAUGCCCUUUGCCUGGCUUACCGUGGCCUCCCCAGGGAAGGGGUUGCUACAAAGAUAGCCCCUACCUAGGGGAUGGAGAUCUUUUCUGGAUAAUAAGCCAAGAGUGUCAGAAACAGAAAGGAGCUGGAGAUUGGUGACUCCUGAAGCUGGGGCAGCAGGUUGCUGGCAGGCAGAAGCUGAGGUCCUCAGUCAGUGGCCUUUCCUUCCUUUUGGGUGCCCAGCCCCCCUUCCUCACCUGAUACCCAAGCCCACCAUUUAUAUUUUCUGGUGAGGUAGGGUUUGGUAGUGGGAGGAAAGAUACAGGCCUAGAGGAGGAGUUGGAAAGCUCUGCUAUUCUGUUCCUCCCUACCUUUAUGAGAGACUAGUGAAGUGGAGGGCCUGCCCUACCCCCUCCACCAGGGACUCCUCCCAGGCCAGAGCCCCAACCCAUUCCCAGGCCUUCUCUGCCCAAAUGUCUUUUGGUCUCCAAUCCCAGAAAAGGACCUGUGGGCAGGUCACCUGUGCAUUGGUCUGGAGCUGGAGAGUAAGGCUAUAGGAUCUUUGGAAACUCUUGGUUUCUAGGAGUUCCAUAGAGGUCUUACCUCCCCAGAAGGAAGCAGGAACAAGGCCAAGAAGCGUGCACUGGAUAGGGGAACAGCAGGCAGGGCUCUGGGUGACGCAUGCCUCUGGUCUAAUAAACUGGGUUUCAACCAUCUC